CCUACGGGAGGCAGCAGUGGGGAAUAUUGCACAAUGGGGGAAACCCUGAUGCAGCGACGCCGCGUGAGUGAAGAAGUAUUUCGGUAUGUAACGCUCUAUCAGCAGGGAAGAAAAUGACGGUACCUGAUUAAGAAGCGCCGGCUAACUACGUGCCAGCAGCCGCGGUCAUACGUAGGGGGCAAGCGUUAUCCGGAUUUACUGGGUGUAAAGGGAGCGUAGACGGCAGCACAAGUCUGGAGUGAAAUGCCGGGGCUUAAACCCGGAACUGCUUUGGAAACUGUGCAGCGAGAGUGCAGGAGAGGUAAGUGGAAUUCCUAGUGUAGCGGUGAAAUGCGUAGAUAUUAGGAGGAACACCAGUGGCGAAGGCGGCUUACUGGACUGUAACUGACGUUGAGGCUCGAAAGCGUGGGGAGCAAACAGGAUUAGAUACCCCUGUAGUC
This 440-nucleotide ribosomal RNA is filed under the name uncultured bacterium. Its description in RNAcentral is "partial 16S ribosomal RNA". It matches the Rfam family "Bacterial small subunit ribosomal RNA", at positions 338 to 795 of the family's 1533-position model. The record is from RNAcentral.